GGUGGCUCAAAGGUAGAGUUCUUGCCUUGCAUGCAUGAAGCCCUGGGUUCGAUUCCUCAGCACCA
RNAcentral lists this transfer RNA (65 nucleotides) under Dipodomys ordii (Ord's kangaroo rat). It matches the Rfam family "tRNA". From Rfam's summary of the family: Transfer RNA (tRNA) molecules are approximately 80 nucleotides in length. Their secondary structure includes four short double-helical elements and three loops (D, anti-codon, and T loops). Further hydrogen bonds mediate the characteristic L-shaped molecular structure. tRNAs have two regions of fundamental functional importance: the anti-codon, which is responsible for specific mRNA codon recognition, and the 3' end, to which the tRNAs corresponding amino acid is attached (by aminoacyl-tRNA synthetases). tRNAs cope with the degeneracy of the genetic code in two manners: having more than one tRNA (with a specific anti-codon) for a particular amino acid; and 'wobble' base-pairing, i.e. permitting non-standard base-pairing at the 3rd anti-codon position. Lineage: Eukaryota; Metazoa; Chordata; Mammalia; Rodentia; Heteromyidae. The record is from Rfam by way of RNAcentral.